GGGGUAAUAGCUCAGCUGAUUAGAGCGCUGCCUUUGCAAGGCAGAGGUCCUGGGUUUGAGUCCCAGUUACUCCACCA
This 77-nucleotide transfer RNA is filed under the name Candidatus Saccharimonadota bacterium. RNAcentral describes it as "tRNA-Ala". It matches the Rfam family "tRNA". Rfam says of the family: Transfer RNA (tRNA) molecules are approximately 80 nucleotides in length. Lineage: Bacteria; Candidatus Saccharimonadota. RNAcentral also lists the same sequence under 1 other name. The record is from RNAcentral.